CCUACGGGUGGCUGCAGUGAGGAAUAUUGGUCAAUGGGCGCGAUCCUGAACCAGCCAUGCAGCGUGCAGGAUGACGGCCCUACGAGUUGUAAACUGCUUUUGUACCGGGAUAAAAUGCCUUACGUGUACCGUUUUGUAUGUACUGUAUGAAUAAGGAUCGGCUAACUCCGUGCCAGCAGCCGCGGUAAUACGGAGGAUCCGAGCGUUAUCCGGAUUUAUUGGGUUUAAAGGGAGCGUAGGUUGGUUUUUAAGUUAGUUGUGAAAGUUUGCGGCUCAACAGUAAGAUUGCCAUUGAUACUGUAAGACUAGAGAACAGAUGCAGUAGGCGGAAUGUGUGGUGUAGCGGUGAAAUGCAUAGAUAUUACGAAGAACACCGAUUGCGAAGGCAGCUUACUAAGCCGGAACUGACAUUGAUGCACGAAAGCGUGGGUAUCGAACAGGAUUAGAUACCCCUGUAGUC
Molecule: ribosomal RNA, 460 nt
Filed under: uncultured bacterium
Lineage: Bacteria
Description: partial 16S ribosomal RNA
Rfam family: Bacterial small subunit ribosomal RNA
Source: RNAcentral